AACGGGAUAGAGUAAUUUUUGGUAACUCAUUAGGCUCAUGUUCUAAAAUUAUAGGUUCGAAUCCUAUUCCCGUAC
RNAcentral lists this transfer RNA (75 nucleotides) under Polysiphonia sp. RNAcentral describes it as "tRNA-Met". It matches the Rfam family "tRNA". Rfam says of the family: Transfer RNA (tRNA) molecules are approximately 80 nucleotides in length. Their secondary structure includes four short double-helical elements and three loops (D, anti-codon, and T loops). Lineage: Eukaryota; Rhodophyta; Florideophyceae; Ceramiales; Rhodomelaceae. The record is from RNAcentral.